This 201-nucleotide ribosomal RNA is filed under the name Aphidius transcaspicus. RNAcentral describes it as "partial 28S ribosomal RNA". Lineage: Eukaryota; Metazoa; Arthropoda; Insecta; Hymenoptera; Braconidae. The record is from RNAcentral.
UAAAAUAUAGAGGACAGACCAGACUGUGUAGCCAUUAAUAUUAUUUUUAUAUAUAUAUAAUUUGUAUGUUAUAGUUAUAUAUUUUUAGUAUUGUUGUAUAUAAUGAUUAUUAAGAUUUUUAUUUUUUUCAUUUUAAAAUUAUUUAAUAACAAUAUUAACGACCUCCCAGUAGGUGAGACUACCCCCCUAAAUUUUAACCAU